AAAGGAAAGCAGCAAAGGUGGCCUGAGGAAGACUCUGUCCUGAGAUGCAGGACGAGCUGGGGAGAGAGGCCUGGGCUGCCGAGCUGUCGUGAAGAGGGUGCGUCUGUGGCAGCAGCUUCUGGACACCCCGUGGGGACACCCGCUGUCUAGAGCCAUGCUGAGCAGACUUCUCCUCGUAUGGACACCGGCGCCCCCGCCCUCCACUCGUCCCCGGCAUCUGCAGGGCCACUUCCCAGGAGUAACCCCUGAAGAACUGGAGCAGGCAGACCCCCUUCGCAGAUGAGGAAACCAUCUCCCCAAAGCCACCUACAAACAGAACCCCACCCUGCCCGCCAGGUGUGGCUCAGGCACAGCCGCAGCAGCCCACGUGCCUGGGAUGGCCCCUCCCACGCUCAACCUGGACUCUGAAUUUAUGGCAAAACCUGGUUUCCUCCCCAGGUUUCCCCAGCCCCUUUAGAAC
This 460-nucleotide long non-coding RNA is filed under the name Homo sapiens (human). RNAcentral's name for it is "HSALNT0117787". Lineage: Eukaryota; Metazoa; Chordata; Mammalia; Primates; Hominidae. The record is from RNAcentral.